This 26-nucleotide non-coding RNA is filed under the name Cricetulus griseus (Chinese hamster). Lineage: Eukaryota; Metazoa; Chordata; Mammalia; Rodentia; Cricetidae. The record is from RNAcentral.
GUGUGGAAUGGCUGAAUGAAGAACAC